RNAcentral lists this non-coding RNA (141 nucleotides) under Acaryochloris marina. The record is from RNAcentral. RNAcentral also lists the same sequence under 1 other name. Lineage: Bacteria; Bacillati; Cyanobacteriota; Cyanophyceae; Acaryochloridales; Acaryochloridaceae.
UACGCUAAGGUUCACAUCGGUUUUAGUGGGGAACAGCCACUAAAAUAAUGGGGAAAGUUUGGUGCAAGUCCAACACUGUCCCGCAGCUGUAAGCAGACUAUCUCUGUAAGUCAGAACGCCCACCGAUGUCCCCCGUAAACA